UGGGGAAUAUUGGACAAUGGGGGGAACCCUGAUCCAGCCAUGCCGCGUGUGUGAAGAAGGCCUUAUGGUUGUAAAGCACUUUAAGCGAGGAGGAGGGUACUGGUAUUAAUACUACCAGCUACUGGACGUUACUCGCAGAAUAAGCACCGGCUAACUCUGUGCCAGCAGCCGCGGUAAUACAGAGGGUGCGAGCGUUAAUCGGAUUUACUGGGCGUAAAGCGUGCGUAGGCGGCUAAUUGAGUCGGAUGUGAAAUCCCCGAGCUUAACUUGGGAAUUGCAUUCGAUACUGGUUAGCUAGAGUGUGGGAGAGGAUGGUAGAAUUCCAGGUGUAGCGGUGAAAUGCGUAGAGAUCUGGAGGAAUACCGAUGGCGAAGUCGACCACCUGGGCUCAUACUGACACUGAGGUGCGAAAGCGUGGGGAGCAAACAGG
This 430-nucleotide ribosomal RNA is filed under the name Pseudomonadota bacterium. RNAcentral describes it as "Proteobacteria bacterium partial 16S ribosomal RNA". It matches the Rfam family "Bacterial small subunit ribosomal RNA", at positions 355 to 776 of the family's 1533-position model. Lineage: Bacteria; Pseudomonadati; Pseudomonadota. The record is from RNAcentral.